CACCGCCUGGGGAGUACGACCGCAAGGUUAAAACUCAAAUGAAUUGACGGGGACCCGCACAAGUAGUGGAGCAUGUGGUUUAAUUCGAAGAUACGCGCAGAACCUUACCAACACUUGACAUGUUCGUCGCGACUUUAAGAGAUUAAAGUUUUCGGUUCGGCCGGACGAAACACAGGUGCUGCAUGGCUGUCGUCAGCUCGUGUCGUGAGAUGUUGGGUUAAGUCCCGCAACGAGCGCAACCCUCACUUUUAGUUGCCAUCAUUUAGUUGGGCACUCUGAAAGAACUGCCAGUGAUAAGCUGGAGGAAGGUGGGGAUGACGUCAAGUCCUCAUGGCCCUUACGUGUUGGGCUACACACGUGCUACAAUGGUAUCUACAACAGGAAGCAAGACGGCGACGUUAAGCAAAUCCUUAAAAGAUACCUCAGUUCGGAUUGCACUCUGCAACUCGAGUGCAUGAAGCUGGAAUUACUAGUAAUCGUGGAUCAGCGUGCCACGGUGAAUGCGUUCCCGGGUCUUGUACACACCGCCCGUCACACCAUGGGAGUUGGUUCUACCUUAAGGCAAGGUUUAAAACCCUUGACCACGGUAUAGUCAGCGACUGGGGUGAAGUCGUAACAAGGUAGCCGUAGGGGAACCUGCGGCUGGAUUACCUCCUUUCUAAGGAUGAAUGAAAGUAAAAUUUCAUUCUAAAUAAUAUACAGGUUAAUGUUGACCGUCCUCAUUUCUCUUCUUAAUUUAGUGUUUCUCUUAAAGCAUGGGGGCCGGUAGCUCAGUUGGUUAGAGCACACCCUUGAUAAGGGUGGGGUCGAAAGUUCGAGUCUUUCUCGGCCCACCAAUUUAAAUCUGGGGGAUUAGCUCAGCUGGGAGAGCGCCUGAUUUGCAUUCAGGAGGUCAGCGGUUCGAUCCCGCUAUCCUCCACCAAAAGAACCUUAGUUGUUUUAAAUUGUAAAAAAUUUUAAUUAUUAUCAAUAUCUAUAUCCGAUCAUUCGAAUGAUGUAUGCUAAUGUUCAAAAAUGAAAUUUAUUAAUUUGAUUCACACAGAUUUUUUCUG
This 1052-nucleotide small RNA is filed under the name uncultured Pelagibacterales bacterium. RNAcentral's name for it is "bacterial SSU rRNA". The stretch from base 1 to 658 matches the Rfam family "Bacterial small subunit ribosomal RNA", at positions 867 to 1533 of the family's 1533-position model. Lineage: Bacteria; Pseudomonadati; Pseudomonadota; Alphaproteobacteria; Candidatus Pelagibacterales. The record is from RNAcentral.